This 2929-nucleotide ribosomal RNA is filed under the name Escherichia coli. RNAcentral describes it as "23S ribosomal RNA". It matches the Rfam family "Bacterial large subunit ribosomal RNA". The record is from RNAcentral. Lineage: Bacteria; Pseudomonadati; Pseudomonadota; Gammaproteobacteria; Enterobacterales; Enterobacteriaceae.
GGGUUGUGAGGUUAAGCGACUAAGCGUACACGGUGGAUGCCCUGGCAGUCAGAGGCGAUGAAGGACGUGCUAAUCUGCGAUAAGCGUCGGUAAGGUGAUAUGAACCGUUAUAACCGGCGAUUUCCGAAUGGGGAAACCCAGUGUGAUUCGUCACACUAUCAUUAACUGAAUCCAUAGGUUAAUGAGGCGAACCGGGGGAACUGAAACAUCUAAGUACCCCGAGGAAAAGAAAUCAACCGAGAUUCCCCCAGUAGCGGCGAGCGAACGGGGAGGAGCCCAGAGCCUGAAUCAGUGUGUGUGUUAGUGGAAGCGUCUGGAAAGGCGCGCGAUACAGGGUGACAGCCCCGUACACAAAAAUGCACAUACUGUGAGCUCGAUGAGUAGGGCGGGACACGUGGUAUCCUGUCUGAAUAUGGGGGGACCAUCCUCCAAGGCUAAAUACUCCUGACUGACCGAUAGUGAACCAGUACCGUGAGGGAAAGGCGAAAAGAACCCCGGCGAGGGGAGUGAAAAAGAACCUGAAACCGUGUACGUACAAGCAGUGGGAGCCUCUUUAUGGGGUGACUGCGUACCUUUUGUAUAAUGGGUCAGCGACUUAUAUUCUGUAGCAAGGUUAACCGAAUAGGGGAGCCGAAGGGAAACCGAGUCUUAACUGGGCGUUAAGUUGCAGGGUAUAGACCCGAAACCCGGUGAUCUAGCCAUGGGCAGGUUGAAGGUUGGGUAACACUAACUGGAGGACCGAACCGACUAAUGUUGAAAAAUUAGCGGAUGACUUGUGGCUGGGGGUGAAAGGCCAAUCAAACCGGGAGAUAGCUGGUUCUCCCCGAAAGCUAUUUAGGUAGCGCCUCGUGAAUUCAUCUCCGGGGGUAGAGCACUGUUUCGGCAAGGGGGUCAUCCCGACUUACCAACCCGAUGCAAACUGCGAAUACCGGAGAAUGUUAUCACGGGAGACACACGGCGGGUGCUAACGUCCGUCGUGAAGAGGGAAACAACCCAGACCGCCAGCUAAGGUCCCAAAGUCAUGGUUAAGUGGGAAACGAUGUGGGAAGGCCCAGACAGCCAGGAUGUUGGCUUAGAAGCAGCCAUCAUUUAAAGAAAGCGUAAUAGCUCACUGGUCGAGUCGGCCUGCGCGGAAGAUGUAACGGGGCUAAACCAUGCACCGAAGCUGCGGCAGCGACACUAUGUGUUGUUGGGUAGGGGAGCGUUCUGUAAGCCUGUGAAGGUGUACUGUGAGGUAUGCUGGAGGUAUCAGAAGUGCGAAUGCUGACAUAAGUAACGAUAAAGCGGGUGAAAAGCCCGCUCGCCGGAAGACCAAGGGUUCCUGUCCAACGUUAAUCGGGGCAGGGUGAGUCGACCCCUAAGGCGAGGCCGAAAGGCGUAGUCGAUGGGAAACAGGUUAAUAUUCCUGUACUUGGUGUUACUGCGAAGGGGGGACGGAGAAGGCUAUGUUGGCCGGGCGACGGUUGUCCCGGUUUAAGCGUGUAGGCUGGUUUUCCAGGCAAAUCCGGAAAAUCAAGGCUGAGGCGUGAUGACGAGGCACUACGGUGCUGAAGCAACAAAUGCCCUGCUUCCAGGAAAAGCCUCUAAGCAUCAGGUAACAUCAAAUCGUACCCCAAACCGACACAGGUGGUCAGGUAGAGAAUACCAAGGCGCUUGAGAGAACUCGGGUGAAGGAACUAGGCAAAAUGGUGCCGUAACUUCGGGAGAAGGCACGCUGAUAUGUAGGUGAAGCGACUUGCUCGUGGAGCUGAAAUCAGUCGAAGAUACCAGCUGGCUGCAACUGUUUAUUAAAAACACAGCACUGUGCAAACACGAAAGUGGACGUAUACGGUGUGACGCCUGCCCGGUGCCGGAAGGUUAAUUGAUGGGGUUAGCGCAAGCGAAGCUCUUGAUCGAAGCCCCGGUAAACGGCGGCCGUAACUAUAACGGUCCUAAGGUAGCGAAAUUCCUUGUCGGGUAAGUUCCGACCUGCACGAAUGGCGUAAUGAUGGCCAGGCUGUCUCCACCCGAGACUCAGUGAAAUUGAACUCGCUGUGAAGAUGCAGUGUACCCGCGGCAAGACGGAAAGACCCCGUGAACCUUUACUAUAGCUUGACACUGAACAUUGAGCCUUGAUGUGUAGGAUAGGUGGGAGGCUUUGAAGUGUGGACGCCAGUCUGCAUGGAGCCGACCUUGAAAUACCACCCUUUAAUGUUUGAUGUUCUAACGUUGGCCCCUGAUCGGGGUUGCGGACAGUGUCUGGUGGGUAGUUUGACUGGGGCGGUCUCCUCCUAAAGAGUAACGGAGGAGCACGAAGGUUGGCUAAUCCUGGUCGGACAUCAGGAGGUUAGUGCAAUGGCAUAAGCCAGCUUGACUGCGAGCGUGACGGCGCGAGCAGGUGCGAAAGCAGGUCAUAGUGAUCCGGUGGUUCUGAAUGGAAGGGCCAUCGCUCAACGGAUAAAAGGUACUCCGGGGAUAACAGGCUGAUACCGCCCAAGAGUUCAUAUCGACGGCGGUGUUUGGCACCUCGAUGUCGGCUCAUCACAUCCUGGGGCUGAAGUAGGUCCCAAGGGUAUGGCUGUUCGCCAUUUAAAGUGGUACGCGAGCUGGGUUUAGAACGUCGUGAGACAGUUCGGUCCCUAUCUGCCGUGGGCGCUGGAGAACUGAGGGGGGCUGCUCCUAGUACGAGAGGACCGGAGUGGACGCAUCACUGGUGUUCGGGUUGUCAUGCCAAUGGCACUGCCCGGUAGCUAAAUGCGGAAGAGAUAAGUGCUGAAAGCAUCUAAGCACGAAACUUGCCCCGAGAUGAGUUCUCCCUGACUCCCUGAGAGUCCUGAAGGAACGUUGAAGACGACGACGUUGAUAGGCCGGGUGUGUAAGCGCAGCGAUGCGUUGAGCUAACCGGUACUAAUGAACCGUGAGGCUUAACCUUACAACGCCGAAGGUGUUU